GGAGUCUGGUCCGUGUCUCAGUACCAGUGUGGGGGACCUUCCUCUCAGAACCCCUACUGAUCGAUGGCUCGGUGGGCCGUUACCCCGCCGACUGCCUAAUCAGACGCAUCCCCAUCCCUUAGCGACGAAUCUUUGCUCCUAAACCGAUGCCCGAAAAGGAGAACAUAGGGCAUUAAUCCGACUUUCGCCGGGCUAUUCCCUACUAAGGGGGAGGUUGGAUACGCGUUACUCACCCGUGCGCCGGUCGCCAUCAACAAAAGCAAGCUUUCGUUCAUGAUGCCCCUCGACUUGCAUGUGUUAAGCCUGUAGCUAGCGUUCAUC
RNAcentral lists this ribosomal RNA (321 nucleotides) under uncultured Prevotella sp. RNAcentral describes it as "partial 16S ribosomal RNA". The record is from RNAcentral. Lineage: Bacteria; Pseudomonadati; Bacteroidota; Bacteroidia; Bacteroidales; Prevotellaceae.